RNAcentral lists this ribosomal RNA (504 nucleotides) under uncultured bacterium. RNAcentral's name for it is "partial 16S ribosomal RNA". It matches the Rfam family "Bacterial small subunit ribosomal RNA", at positions 29 to 523 of the family's 1533-position model. The record is from RNAcentral.
AUUGAACGCUGGCGGCAGGCCUAACACAUGCAAGUCGAACGGUAGCACAGAGAGCUUGCUCUCGGGUGACGAGUGGCGGACGGGUGAGUAACGUCUGGGAAACUGCCCGAUGGAGGGGGAUAACUACUGGAAACGGUAGCUAAUACCGCAUAACGUCGCAAGACCAAAGUGGGGGACCUUCGGGCCUCACACCAUCGGAUGUGCCCAGGUGGGAUUAGCUAGUAGGUGGGGUAAUGGCUCACCUAGGCGACGAUCCCUAGCUGGUCUGAGAGGAUGGCCAGCCACACAGGAACGGAGACACGGUCCCGACUCCUACGGGAGGCAGCAGUGGGGAAUAUUGCACAAUGGGCGCAAGCCUGAUGCAGCCAUGCCGCGGGUAUGAAGAAGGCCUUCGGGUUGUAAAGUACUUUCAGCGGGGAGGAAGGCGGUGAAGUUAAUAGCUUCACCGAUUGACGUUACCCGCAGAAGAAGCACCGGCUAACUCCGUGCCAGCAGCCGCGGUAA